Molecule: long non-coding RNA, 1692 nt
Filed under: Homo sapiens (human)
Lineage: Eukaryota; Metazoa; Chordata; Mammalia; Primates; Hominidae
Description: HSALNT0140260
Source: RNAcentral
CGGUACCUCAGAUGGAAAUGCAGAAAUCACCCGUCUUCUGCGUCGCUCACGCUGGGAGCUGUAGACGGGAGCUGUUGCUAUUCGGCCAUCUUCGAUGCCUGACAUUUUUAAGGCUAGGCUGGCAAACAAUCCAUGAAGACCGCCUCCAGAGAAGAGACUCAUAUUACGUCCAUGUUCUACGCUCUAUGCAAAUUUCAAAGCUACAUUUCUGGGACCCUUGGCAGGGUGCUCAGGCCAAGCGAGGAUACUGGGUAGAGUCACAAAUUACCCAUGUACUUCCUUUACAUUUGCUUCCACCAGGACUUUAAUUCAGUUUAAAUCAGUUCAAGGUGAAUAUCAAGGGAAACACUGAAGAGUAAAAGAAGUAACAAGAGAGUGUGGUGGGAGUUGUGUACCAAAAGGUAACAAAGACUGCUCUACCCAAUUGCCUUUGUGGAGUGAUGAUGCAUCUGUUGUGUGUGUGUAUGUGGGUUGUACUUUUUUCCUAUACUAUGUGUUGAAGAGGAGGGACUGGGCUGGCCAUUGAGGGAGUGGCCCAAUUGGCAUAUGCUGUGUGCACGGCCAUUCAGCAGGAGAGGGAAUAGCCAGUGAUGGAUCACCUUGACAACAGAGCCAGAAGGCUUCCAGGGUCUUCACAGGCUGGUGGCACCAUGCUAAAUAUACUGUAAUCUAAUACCUGCAACAUCUGUGCAGCCUCAGAAAACUGAUUUUGGCUACAGCUUGAGGAGGACUACCUUCUGAGACACAUUCACAUUAAAUAAAUUCAUAAGCCUGAUGAAGAUAAUUUGAAGGCCAAUUCAUUCUCUUCAGUUCUCUUCAAAGGCUGACAAUAUUUGCUCUACUCCACAUGAUCUUUCUGAACUGACCUCCUGCUACCCACCUCAUGCACCUUGCUUGAGCUACCCUGACCCCGUGCUCUUCCUCAAACACACCAGACAUGCUCACUCUAUCCAGGGUACUUUCCCUUAUUUAUCCUUACAUCUUGCUCCCUCAGCUCCUUUUGGACUUCUCAGUGAAGCUUUAUUCACAUCCUUGUUUAAAAUGCAACAUCAGAGGAGUCACAUCAGCAAGAUGACUGAAUCUGAGGUCCCAGGCUUCACUUUCUGCCACAGAUAUUUCAGCUAGCAAUUAUCCUCAGAUGAAAAGAACUUUGUGAAAACCCAAAAACUUAGGACUAAGACUGAGUGUAAACCAUAGAACUAAAUAAAAUUAUAUCAUAAGAUAAGAGGAAUGAUUUCACUUUGACUACAUCAUCAUUUCCCUCCUUCAAGACAACACGACACAUAGCGAAGAUCCCCUGAAUCGACAGUUUCCAUAGUGAGUAAAGAGCUCUGGAGGUAGUCAUCCAGCUUCUCAGUAUUCAGAGACACUUCUCAGGGAGCUCGCCCCCAUCUCACCUCAAAGGGAACACUAGGUGUAACAAUGGGACUAGACCACCUGGGAUCAGAUAGAAACACCAAAAGGAGGCUCAAGGAUCUUGAUGAUAGCCCUGUGUUUCUGCCGUUGAUGGCAUCCCAGCCAACAGCAGAGCUCACCCACAAAGCCAAGCUGGUGGAUCCCAGAAGUAUAGCAGGACGUUCAAGCUGGCUAGAGCCCUAGGCAGCCAGCCUCCAUACCCAGCCUUGGAGCCUACACCAGAUCCCCACCCAGGCAAGGAGACACCAGCCACAACACAUUUCUGUUGAGCGUAGG